GUCAAUGGGGAACUCGCUUUCAAGGCCUUCCAUCUAUUGGCCCAGAGCUCAGAAUAUUCAGCCAAUGAGAGAAGGCGAUAGAUGAGGUUUCUGAGUUGGGUGUGGUGGAGGUCUCUGAUUGGCCAAGAGGUGGUCGUGGUCGACGUCUUCCUCCCUCAGCAGUUUGUAGGCGGACGUCUUCAAGAAAUGGCAGAAUUUUUAAGCUUUCCAUGCCCCAUAUGUAAUUUUCGUUUCGGCAGUACUCCGGUGGUGAAGAAAAGGGUCAUUAGAGAACAAGAUGUACAGGACAGAGGAAGAUGGAGAUGGCUGACUAGAAACGGAGACCUCAUAAUAUAGAAAUGGGAAAAGCUGAAGGCAAAGAAGUAGUAGUAGUAGUAGUUGCACAUCUCCCUGGCACGUCGUUCAAGGCAUGAGAAAUUAUUCUUGGGGCACAGAGCCGACAAAGUUUGCCCAAAGCAUGACUCUGUGGCUAUUUUAUGACUUGUUUUCCUUCGUGCGCAUACCAAGCCCUAUGCUGUUCAAACAAAGAGGAAAAUGAGGCCUCGGACCAAGAGGAAGAAGAAAUGAGGCCUCGGACCAAGAGGAAGAAGAAAUGAGGCCUCGGACCAAGAGGAAGAGAGACCUCGGAUCAAGAUCCAGACAAGACACCAAGAGUCAACUCAGAGAAGAUCGUCGGAACGUCAUUUAAAAAAGAAUUAAGCCGGUAAUCCAGGGCUUUUGAAAAAAAUAAAGAUUCUGGACGCCUCACGUUUUAAGAAUUCAAAAUUGGUUUUCAUUUUUUUUUCUGUGGGGUGGGGGGAGGGGCAG
This is a long non-coding RNA of Macrobrachium nipponense, 807 nucleotides long. RefSeq lists it as uncharacterized. NCBI's taxonomy places the organism in Eukaryota, Metazoa, Arthropoda, Malacostraca, Decapoda, Palaemonidae. The record is from RefSeq and is a predicted model, not a curated record. The transcript is spliced from 3 exons.